This 254-nucleotide ribosomal RNA is filed under the name uncultured bacterium. Its description in RNAcentral is "partial 16S ribosomal RNA". It matches the Rfam family "Bacterial small subunit ribosomal RNA", at positions 524 to 777 of the family's 1533-position model. The record is from RNAcentral.
UACGAAGGGGGCUAGCGUUGUUCGGAAUCACUGGGCGUAAAGCGUACGUAGGCGGACCGUUAAGUCGGGGGUGAAAUCCCAGGGCUCAACCCUGGAACUGCCUUCGAUACUGGCGGUCUGGAGUCCGGGAGAGGUGAGUGGAACUCCUAGUGUAGAGGUGAAAUUCGUAGAUAUUAGGAAGAACACCAGUGGCGAAGGCGGCUCACUGGCCCGGUACUGACGCUGAGGUACGAAAGCGUGGGGAGCAAACAGGG